GCUGGGUGUGGUGGCGCAUGCCUGUAAUCCCAGUGGCUCAGGAGGCUGAGACAGGAGGAUCCGGAGUUCAAAGCCAUCCUCAGCAAUGGCAAGGUGGUAAGCAACUCAGUGAGACCCUAUCUCUA
Molecule: small RNA, 125 nt
Filed under: Marmota monax (woodchuck)
Lineage: Eukaryota; Metazoa; Chordata; Mammalia; Rodentia; Sciuridae
Source: RNAcentral